UGACGUAAACCUUCAGGUUUGCUUGAGUGA
This 30-nucleotide non-coding RNA is filed under the name Mus musculus (house mouse). The record is from RNAcentral. Lineage: Eukaryota; Metazoa; Chordata; Mammalia; Rodentia; Muridae.